GGAUAGUGCAUGCAGGGUGUGUGUGUGCGUGUGUGUGCAUGUGUGUGUAUGUGUGUGUGUGCUGUGCGUGCGCGCCCGCGGAGAGAGGGGCGGGGGAGGCGGAUGAGGAGGAUGAGAUCAUAGUUUCAGGAUCCUCAGGAAACCCUGGUACUGGCAGCAGCCAGCCUCUGCUGUGCCCACAUGACCCACAACUCUGGCAGCGGACCCGGCACUUCCAACAUUAUUAAAUAAUAAGAAAGCGGCUCCUACUCCAUGCCCAAACCUCCCUACAGACCAAUGGACACCUUCUAAGAGUUUGGCGAGUCGGUGACUGAGGCGCCCGUCCAUUCCAAGGCCGUCUUAUCACAUUCACAGUGGGAGAUUGCAGCCUCCAAACUGCUAUUCUGACUCUGAUCUUCAUGUAAAAGAAUGUUCUUCGGGCAUCCCACUGGAUCUACUGUAAAACAUCAGUCACGCAUCCAUAGGAUGGACUCAAAGACCUUCCUGAUGAGUGGUGGUGUGAAAUAUACUAAGAAUAAAAGGAUGCUUCAUUUUUAUGCGCUAGAGAUUUAAAACCACAUUAUACUUUGAUGCUAUCACCAGCCUUUUUCUUUAUGAUAUCUGCUGUUAUGUGAAUUGAGGGUUUUUUGAAGUUAAUAACUGAAAUACCCUCAGGGCUGUAAUCUCAUCCGUUGGAAGGACCCUGAGCAAACUCUUCCGUGGUGUGCGGUCAAUGUACCAUCAAUUUGGCCUUUUCAGUUCCAUGUGAAGCAAUGGUUGAACAUUGUGGUUUCUUUUUGUAACUUAGCCUUCCCCCACAACAUUCUUGAAGUAGAAGCAACAGCAACGAUGUUCUAGUUCAUUUGUGUCAACUAAUUUAAAAAAACAAAUUAAGGAGAGUAAGUUCAGACAUUUUGGAUAUUACUUUAAAUGUUAACAAUCAUUGGC
Molecule: long non-coding RNA, 927 nt
Filed under: Equus caballus (horse)
Lineage: Eukaryota; Metazoa; Chordata; Mammalia; Perissodactyla; Equidae
Description: lncRNA (ENSECAG00000056548.1)
Source: RNAcentral